Molecule: long non-coding RNA, 2183 nt
Organism: Triticum aestivum (bread wheat)
Lineage: Eukaryota; Viridiplantae; Streptophyta; Magnoliopsida; Poales; Poaceae
Exons: 2
Source: RefSeq, a predicted model, not a curated record
ACUAGGCCUGCCUACUCCCCACGCACGCACGCACCCACCAUCACCCCCCGGCCUCUCUUCCACCACACGCCACCCCUUUCUCCCCGCGCCCCGUCCACAGCCCGUGGCCACCACCUCCUACCACGCCGCCGGGCUGGCCACCUCCCACCACGCCACCGGACCAGCCACCUCCCACCGCGCGGCCGGCCACCCCCACCACGCAGCCGGCCACCACCUCCCACCGCGCCGUCGGGCCACCACCUCCAAUCGCCGGCCACCGCCACCCCUGCCCACCGCAACCACCUCCCGGCGGCGGAUCCUGGCUGGCAACCGCCCCAGCGCGCCUCCCCGUGGUGGAUCUGGGCCCUGCGCCUCCAUCGCCCACCGCAUCCGGCCACCACCAGCCCCCAAGGCAGCUUCAACCACCCGAUACGGCCCCUAGUGCGUCUUCAACCGCCGGAUCCGGCCUCCACCAGCCCCCGGCGUGGCUUUCAACAACUGAUCCGGCUGUUGACUCCCCGUGACCUCGUCUCCCUCGUCGCGCCCCUACCUUCGCCUCCCUCCUCCGACCCCAGGCCGGAUCUGCCGCCAAUCCGCGUUUCCCGUCGACCAUUUCCUUUCCCACCGCCACCUCGACCUUUCCCUGGACGGGUCGUUGCAGGCACUGCCUACGGCCCGACAUCGCGCGCAUCCAGGGAUGGGGUCAAUUGCAGCUCGGCUGGCCCUCCAUUGCAGUUCGGCUGGGUGCCCAGUGAUGAUUUUUUGUGUCUAUCGGCAUCAAACGAUGCCCCGAGCUGGAGUUGAAGGUCAACGGCGGCAACGACGCACCGUGCAAUUCAGAAAAUCUUGCAUGCAUCUAUGGAGUUCAAACAACGCACAAGCGUGCGAGUGUGGUUCCAAAGGAACAGUCCACAUCACCGACGGCAGCACCACCAUGAUGUCAUGCGAUUCGGUAGGUUGUGCCCUGCAGUUCGGCAAUCGUGUCCUGGGUUCACACGUGCGUCGGUGCUGCUCGGAGAUGCACGCCAUGCGGAUCGGUGUUUCGAGCGCGCGAGCGGGUCUGACACAACUUGCCGACGACGACCAUGCAGGCUUCUCAGGUCAUGGUCCAAUGCGAUGUUUUGCCUUUCGCCGGUACUCACUUCAGUGUUUGAGAAGAAAAAAAUCGGUUGGCAUUUAGCCUGUGCGUUUCUUUUGUGGUUCAUGGCCUCCGCACGUUGUACUCAUGCAUGUAGUUGUUCAACCUGCGUGGGAGUGUGGUCGAUGACUGUUCCAUGUGAUAUGUAUCUAAUUUGUGUUCCUCAUGUUCUUGUAAGGUUCACCUCUAGAUGGCGUGCGGUCCAGGUCGCCGCUCGAUGCAGUCCACCAGCGACGAGAGGCCAACAAGGGUUGUGAAGCAGUUCUUUAGGCGCGCGCGUGCAGCCCAGAAAAUCCAGGGGUCCUGAUUGCUUUCAGUUCACUCAGUAAAAAAGAAAAAGUGGCACCUGCAGCUCACUUUUAUCAAUUUUUGGUUUGUUGUAAGCGGCCCCGAUUCGUUCCAUGUGUCUUCUUUGCAGAUCACUGUUUUGCUUUUUUUGCAGGCGACCCCGAUUCAUUCGAUGCCAGCUGCCUGGUCGGAGCUCCUCCACCGUUCACCUCCUCCUCUGCAUCCCCUGCAGUUCACUCCAGUGGUUAACGAUGAUGCAUUGGCAGGGGGCAGAUGCAGUGCGGCAGGGCAGUGCAUGUAGUGCGGUAGCGCCGCACAUGCAGUGCGGUGCUCACGGCCGUGCGUGGCCGCUACGGUUGGCCGCGCGAGCCACUCCCUGGGACUUGAUUGCUUUCUUUCUUUUUUGGUUGAAGGGAAGUUCCACAAAAUUUAGUUUGCAGCAGCAUGGUUCGGCACAGAGUGCAAUUCGGUGGCGCGGGCGGCGUUUUUGUCUUCUAUUUGUAUAGAAAAAAGUUUCAUCUCUCUCGUCAGGCACAAGUAGCAUAUUUUAUUUCGAAUAUGCAGUUCAGGAAAAUGGUCUCUCCUGGUCUCUACCGACCUCCCAGGUUGCCAUUGGCCAUUUUGGCGACUUUGUAGGUGUAGUAUGCCCCUGAGGUGUGAUGUAGUGCAGCACGGCUAGUCCUCAAUUGCUGUUCGGCUGGUGACAGUGUUGAUUUUGUGUGUAUGUUGUGUGUGUGUCUGUAAAAAUAAACAAAAUAUAUAUAUGUUUUGAAGCUCA